Long non-coding RNA from Hydra vulgaris (swiftwater hydra), 768 nucleotides. RefSeq lists it as uncharacterized. The record is from RefSeq and is a predicted model, not a curated record. NCBI's taxonomy places the organism in Eukaryota, Metazoa, Cnidaria, Hydrozoa, Anthoathecata, Hydridae.
UUAGAGAAAGACUAUAGAGCACAUAUCAUAUAGUUUAAAAUCCAUUAAAAAAUAUUAACCAAAGAGUUUACACAGUUACAUUAAAAGUUUAAAUAAUUUUGAGCAAUAUGGCUGAAUUAAUAUGGCAAAGAGACUUUUGUUAUGGAAUAAUGAGAAUAUAAAUUUAACAAAAAUUAUGGAUUAUUCUCUUUUAACUUGAUCAGUUUUAUGAAGAAUAAAAACAAAGUUUAAAGAAAAGCUUAUACUCAAAAUGGCAAUUUAAAAACAAACGCAAUUUUUUAGUAAAAUUACAAGAAAAGAGUAUAAACGCUUGUUGUUAUUGUUACCGUAUAGAUUUUAAAAUAUUAUUUGUGAUUUAAUAAAUACUUUUUGUAUCAAUGAAUUUUGUUAAAACUAUAUAUCUUUAAAAUAAAUAACUAAUAUGAGUUUAAAAUUUUAGUUAGUUUAAACAAAAUUUAAUUAAUACAAAAUUAAAAAUGCAAUUUUAUUAGACACGAGCAAUUAUGUCUGAAAAAACUCUGCAUAAAUUAUCCAGAAGCUAAAUGAUUUUAUCGUUUUAAUAAAUUGGUUGCCUGAAUAAAGCUUCGAUCGAAUAAAAACGAUGGUUGCGGCUUAAUAGAAAAAAGAUCGAUCGAGAUGACACAAUCAUUAAAGUUUUUAUAAUAUAUAUGUAUAUAUAUUUAAAUAAUAUGUAAAUUUAUUUACAAAAUUUAUAUUUACAUCUCAAUUUAUAAAAUAUGAAACAUAUUUAACAAGAAUUUCUAAUAA